UCCCUGGUUGUGUAGCGGUUAAGACUCUGCACUUCCACUGCAGGGGACACAGGUUUGAUCCCUGGUCAGGGAA
Non-coding RNA from Bos taurus (domestic cattle), 73 nucleotides. Lineage: Eukaryota; Metazoa; Chordata; Mammalia; Artiodactyla; Bovidae. The record is from Rfam.